AGGGAAUCUUCCGCAAUGGACGAAAGUCUGACGGAGCAACGCCGCGUGAGUGAUGAAGGUUUUCGGAUCGUAAAGCUCUGUUGUUAGGGAAGAACAAGUACCGUUCGAAUAGGGCGGUACCUUGACGGUACCUAACCAGAAAGCCACGGCUAACUACGUGCCAGCAGCCGCGGUAAUACGUAGGUGGCAAGCGUUGUCCGGAAUUAUUGGGCGUAAAGGGCUCGCAGGCGGUUUCUUAAGUCUGAUGUGAAAGCCCCCGGCUCAACCGGGGAGGGUCAUUGGAAACUGGGGAACUUGAGUGCAGAAGAGGAGAGUGGAAUUCCACGUGUAGCGGUGAAAUGCGUAGAGAUGUGGAGGAACACCAGUGGCGAAGGCGACUCUCUGGUCUGUAACUGACGCUGAGGAGCGAAAGCGUGGGGAGCGAACAGGAUUAGAUACCCUGGUAGUCCACGCCGUAAACGAUGAGUGCUAAGUGUUAGGGGGUUUCCGCCCCUUAGUGCUGCAGCU
RNAcentral lists this ribosomal RNA (507 nucleotides) under Caproiciproducens galactitolivorans. RNAcentral's name for it is "bacterial SSU rRNA". It matches the Rfam family "Bacterial small subunit ribosomal RNA", at positions 356 to 853 of the family's 1533-position model. The record is from RNAcentral. Lineage: Bacteria; Bacillati; Bacillota; Clostridia; Eubacteriales; Acutalibacteraceae.